Chinchilla lanigera (long-tailed chinchilla) is the source of this 814-nucleotide long non-coding RNA. RefSeq lists it as uncharacterized. NCBI's taxonomy places the organism in Eukaryota, Metazoa, Chordata, Mammalia, Rodentia, Chinchillidae. The transcript has 3 exons. The record is from RefSeq and is a predicted model, not a curated record.
CUUAGAUUCUAGGAGGAGGAUAAUAUUGGAAUGUCCCCGUGGUCUUCUGAACAUGGGAAUUUUUAUAAGUGCAGACAGGGGAGGCUUGAACUGACGCUAGAAGUAGACCUAGCUCAUGGCUGUACCACCCUGAACAUGUCAAAUCUCAUCCAAAAACACAGCCAGCUCGGCCACAGCAUCCCACCCAAUGCACCCGAUUUCUCCAGUGCGGUCUCCUGGAGUUUUACACUGAAUGAAACAGGAAAAGUAGAAUCCAACGUUCUCCUGAAUCUCUAUAUAAGGAAAUGGCAUUGGAACUUCGGUUCACAGUGAGGCUCAGACAGUACAUUUCCGUCAUCGCUGUGUGUGGCUGGCGUUGGCAUUUGAUUAUUCUGGUUGUGGCCUACCGUGGUCACCCUCAGGAUCGAGACCACCUGGGGAGGUGUGAGAUCUCUGUGUAUCUCUAGUGAGCUGCAGGGCAGCGUAUGGGCACAGCUCGACACGGAAGCAGCGGGGAUUUCUGAUCUAGUGUACACUGUGCCUCGACACAGCCCUCUCAGAACGCUGCGCGUAGGGAUUCCUAAGCACUGGUUCCAACACCCAUUUGGUUUCAGGGCCCUGCUGAGCUUCGAAGAGUUUAAAGGAAGAAGAAUCUAGCCGCCUUUAACCUCGGAAGAGCGCAGGCACACUGGGUGCAUGUAGUGAUUGUACACAGACAGGUGGAAUUCUGUGUCGUUGUAUUUCUGCAUAUGCCACAAAACCCUGAAGAAACUCUUACACAGACCAACACGAGAUCGUUCAGGCUGGCCUUAAACUCAGUAUGUAACCCAGGCUG